GACGAACGCUGGCGGCGUGCUUAACACAUGCAAGUCGAACGGAAAGGCCCUGCUUUUGUGGGGUGCUCGAGUGGCGAACGGGUGAGUAACACGUGAGUAACCUGCCCUUGACUUUGGGAUAACUUCAGGAAACUGGGGCUAAUACCGGAUAGGAGCUCCUGCUGCAUGGUGGGGGUUGGAAAGUUUCGGCGGUUGGGGAUGGACUCGCGGCUUAUCAGCUUGUUGGUGGGGUAGUGGCUUACCAAGGCUUUGACGGGUAGCCGGCCUGAGAGGGUGACCGGCCACAUUGGCACUGAGAUGCGGCCCAGACUCCUACGGGAGGCAGCAGUGGCGAAUAUUGCACAAUGCGCGGAAGCCUGAUGCAGCAACGCCGCGUGCGGGAUGACGGCCUUCGGAUUGUACACCGCUUUCGCCUGUGACGAAGCGUGAGUGACCGUAAUGGGUAAAGAAGCACCGGCUAACUACGUC
RNAcentral lists this ribosomal RNA (468 nucleotides) under uncultured bacterium. RNAcentral's name for it is "partial 16S ribosomal RNA". It matches the Rfam family "Bacterial small subunit ribosomal RNA", at positions 28 to 507 of the family's 1533-position model. The record is from RNAcentral.